CCCUAUGGGGUGCAAAACGGAGGUGGAAAACGGAGGUGGAAAACGAGGGUGAGAGGAGCAACUCUUCGGUCCGGGAGGACUAAACCAAACCCCCGUACCCCAUAGGAAUGUUGUUAUAGUAUUGUGAGUAAGGCACUUGUUGGUAUUUAGAAUGUUUCAUAAACGCCGCUAUUCCAAUGUUAUACCAAUAUUCCUAUGGGGUACUUGGGAUUAUGGUAUUUAUAUUCUAAAUUUGGUGAGUAAACCCUUAAACCUAAAAACUAUGGAGUGGUAUUUGAAAGUUUUAAGAAACUAUGCAGGCUUCGAAGGCCGCGCAAGAAGAACCGAAUUCUGGGUAUUUUUGCUUUUUAACUUAAUUUUUUCUGCCCUAAUCAUGUUACUGGACAGGAUUAUGUGGACAUAUAGCUUCAUUGGCGGGGGGGC
Molecule: ribosomal RNA, 423 nt
Filed under: uncultured prokaryote
Description: partial 16S ribosomal RNA
Source: RNAcentral